UUGGGGUCGGCACGGUGAAGGAAGAGUAGACCAUGGCUAGAGAAUGUUACGUCGCUUCACUUAAAGAGGUCAAGCUAAAGGAGGCUAUGAUUAUUGAAGGACUCGACGUCAGAGACGAGGACGAGCUGAUCAGAGGGGAACCAGUGGAAGAGCUUGUCGAGGUCCUCUUCGAUCCCAUCAACUCGACAAAAACAGCCAAGAUCGGCAACCAACUAUCCCCUCAAGCCAAAGUCGAUCUUACAACCCUCCUGACUGAACACAAUGAUGUGUUUGCUUGGACUCAUUCUGACAUC
Molecule: unclassified non-coding RNA, 293 nt
Filed under: uncultured bacterium
Lineage: Bacteria
Description: contains 16S-23S intergenic spacer region
Source: RNAcentral